Non-coding RNA from Camellia sinensis, 845 nucleotides. Lineage: Eukaryota; Viridiplantae; Streptophyta; Magnoliopsida; Ericales; Theaceae. The record is from RefSeq and is a predicted model, not a curated record.
CGCAACCCGCCCAAUCCGCCCGCAUUAAAUUAAAUUUUUUUCCCCCUCUUUCAAAUCUAGCCGUCCAUCUUCUCCUUCACCUCAUUUAUUACAACAAACAAAACAAAAAACCCUACAUUUGCCUCCCUCACUCUCUCAGUCUCAUCUCAAAACUCAUCACUGUCUCUUUCUCUCUCACUCUCUCGUUUCGUUAUUCUGCUGCCCCGAUCACUCUCUCUCACUCUCUCGUUGUUCAUCUCAUCGCACCGCCGAUCUACUCAUAGGUCCACAGUUUGGUUUUGCAUCUCUGCACCGAUCGACUCAUAGUAUCCAGAACAGAAUUGAUAAAUGCUGACUGACUAAAACUAGUCUCAGAGUUGGGCAACUUGUUCAUAAAUCUGAGUCUUUUCACCACGAGCAAGAUUCAGUUCUGUGGUCAGAAAAACUGAGACCUUGUGCUGAAGCUCUAUAUAUUGUUUUGUUUGAAAAUCAUAGUCAGCUGCUAGGUCCAGUUGUGGUUUCCAUUCUUCAAGAGGCAAUGAAUGGUUGCCCGACUUCAGUCACUGAAAUCACUCCAGGAUUACUUCUCAAAGAUGCUACUUAUGGUGCUGCUGCCUAUGUUUAUUACAAGCUGUCAAAUUAUCUGAGCUUCAAAGAAUGGUGUGUGCUUUUCUGUGUUUCCGUAUCCGGUUCUUCUGCAUUUGUUUGUCUAAUGCAGCUCGGUAAUUACCUAUUGCUUGGCAUUUAAAUGGUUAUGACUUACAAGAACAACUUGUAAUUGGCAAAUUUAUUUAUUUUUAUUUUUGGUUAUUUAAGCUGCAUAUGCUCUAUUUUCCAUAAUUCUCAAACAACUUUAAAUUAGGGGC